This 726-nucleotide long non-coding RNA is filed under the name Bemisia tabaci. RNAcentral describes it as "lncRNA ENSSSA1UGG001482". The record is from RNAcentral. Lineage: Eukaryota; Metazoa; Arthropoda; Insecta; Hemiptera; Aleyrodidae.
AUGUUUCCGACGCUACCUACCGCAGGCUCAGCAAAAGAUCGGCCUAGUGUUAGUGGCGUUUCCAUCCAGACCGAUGUUUCCUUUUUUAACCCUAAGAUUAACGGCCAAGACAGCACCAGCGCAACAACAUCUAGCGUCUCUUCAUGUCUUGCAAAGGACUCUGAAUCCUCGCAAAUAGUUCCUGUUGCUCAGUCAAAUGAAUUAUUAAUUUGUAAACUAGAAAAACCUGAUGAUGAAUGUAGUAUAAAUCGCAGAAAUAAACUCACAAAGUCUUUUACUUUUCUUGAAAUUUGGUCAGAAUUGUACAAGGCAGACACAAGCUUAGACAUGAUCAAAACUUUUAAUUUAUUUAUUGGGCGUAAAGAACCCCAUUGCCAUGUAUGCUCCAUUUUAACCAACUCAGAGAAUUUCAAUGUAAAUAUUGACACAGAUUCUGCAGUUUUCUAUAAUCUGAGUGAGGAGAGUGUUGCAGAGAAAAGUCAUGUUACAAACAGGAAACCUCCCGGCAGAGAUGGGGAAAGUGUUUUGCUAUCAUGUAGUGACUGUGCUGUCAUCGUCCACAGUGAAUGCUACGAUGACAACAACCCACCGAGUCUCCUCCCUGAAAAGUGGAGAUGUGAUAUGUGUAUAGAAAAUAAAUUAUCAGAGAAGUGCAAAUUAUGCUCCCUCAGCGGGGUGCAUUUAAAGAAACAGUCAAUAAGGAGUGGGUCCACAUUGCAUGUAUGA